GCAAACUUGGUCAUUUAGAGGAAGUAAAAGUCGUAACAAGGUUUCCGUAGGUGAACCUGCGGAAGGAUCAUUAAAAAAAAAAUUAUCCAUCAAGGUAUACCCUUUGUGCAAUUAUUGAGAAAAAGUUAGUCUUUGGGAGAUUGAAAUCAAUCUCCCAAAGGUUGAUUUAAUCUAUUGAAAUUUUUCUGAUAAAUAUUUAUUGUCUUAUAAUAAUUUUUACGAGAAUUUAAAUAAAACAACUUUCAACAACGGAUCUCUUGGCUCUCGCAUCGAUGAAGAACGCAGC
RNAcentral lists this unclassified non-coding RNA (286 nucleotides) under uncultured fungus. RNAcentral describes it as "partial contains small subunit ribosomal RNA, internal transcribed spacer 1, and 5.8S ribosomal RNA". The stretch from base 1 to 73 matches the Rfam family "Eukaryotic small subunit ribosomal RNA", at positions 1759 to 1831 of the family's 1831-position model. Lineage: Eukaryota; Fungi. The record is from RNAcentral.